Molecule: ribosomal RNA, 253 nt
Filed under: uncultured bacterium
Lineage: Bacteria
Description: partial 16S ribosomal RNA
Rfam family: Bacterial small subunit ribosomal RNA
Source: RNAcentral
UACGGGGGGGGCAAGCGUUGUUCGGAAUUACUGGGCGUAAAGGGCUCGUAGGUGGCCAACUAAGUCAUACGUGAAAUCCCUCGGCUUAACCGGGGAACUGCGUCCGAUACUGGAUGGCUUGAGGUUGGGAGAGGGAUGCGGAAUUCCAGGUGUAGCGGUGAAAUGCGUAGAUAUCUGGAGGAACACCGGUGGCGAAGGCGGCAUCCUGGACCAAUUCUGACACUGAGGAGCGAAAGCCAGGGGAGCAAACGGG